Molecule: ribosomal RNA, 732 nt
Filed under: Triticum aestivum (bread wheat)
Lineage: Eukaryota; Viridiplantae; Streptophyta; Magnoliopsida; Poales; Poaceae
Description: partial small subunit ribosomal RNA
Source: RNAcentral
AUGUCUCUCGGCAGGCCCAACCGCGGCAAUGCCGCCGCAGGCCGCGGUGGCGGCGGCGCGGCGCUGCCCGGCGCCCUCGGCCUCGGGAGCUUCCCGCGGCACGACCUCCCCGCCCCACCCGACGGGCUCGACCUCAACGCCGUCGUUGCGCCGCCGGUGAGCCAAGUUGCCCCAGCCCCAGAUCGCCCUUCCCAUGUCAGUGUACAAGAAUUCCGAGCUCGUGUCCGUACCUUGGAGAGUGCUUUUUCUGAUGCGGAUUGGUUUUUAAGGGAUAUUCAAGGUGAAAUACAACAGAUGAGGGAGGAGGGGCAUGAGAAAGACAGGCAAAUCCGAUCUCUCGUUGAAGAUGCAAUGAAGAAACGUCGGUCAAGCCACAUUAGAAUCAAGCAAUUCGACCAUGAUAAAGAGCUGAUGCGUCGAUUCUUUCAGGGAUGCAAAGAAAAACUUAAGAAGUCUUCUGAUGCAUUUCGGGAGUAUAAGAAGAUGUGUGAAGGAAGUGGCGUGUCAUCUUCGGGUGUUGUGGCUGAUGAGCAAAAUCGUAUUCUUAUGAUGCGGCAGGAGUACGCAGAGAACAUUAAUGCGCUUGAGAGAUAUCUGCAUUCGAGCUUUGCAGCAUGUGCUAAAGAGAUUACAAUGCUGGCAACAAGGAUUGCAUACCUCAACAAUGAACGUCAAAGGCUGAAUGAUUAUAUACAAAUUCCAGAUCUUAACAAUGGGGGUCCUCAACUGUGA